Molecule: ribosomal RNA, 253 nt
Filed under: uncultured bacterium
Lineage: Bacteria
Description: partial 16S ribosomal RNA
Rfam family: Bacterial small subunit ribosomal RNA
Source: RNAcentral
UACAGAGGUCUCAAGCGUUGUUCGGAUUCAUUGGGCGUAAAGGGUGCGUAGGCGGCGCGGUAAGUCGGGUGUGAAAUCUCGGAGCUUAACUCCGAAACUGCAUUCGAUACUGCCGUGCUUGAGGACUGGAGAGGAGACUGGAAUUUACGGUGUAGCGGUGAAAUGCGUAGAUAUCGUAAGGAAGACCAGUGGCGAAGGCGGGUCUCUGGACAGUUCCUGACGCUGAGGCGCGAAGGCGUGGGGAGCGAACGGG